Molecule: ribosomal RNA, 254 nt
Filed under: uncultured bacterium
Lineage: Bacteria
Description: partial 16S ribosomal RNA
Rfam family: Bacterial small subunit ribosomal RNA
Source: RNAcentral
UACGUAGGGUGCAAGCGUUAUCCGGAAUUAUUGGGCGUAAAGAGCUCGUAGGCGGUGUGUCGCGUCGGUCGUGAAAACUUUCAGCUUAACUGGGAGCUUGCGGUCGAUACGGGCAUCACUGGAGUUCGGCAGGGGAGACUGGAAUUCCUGGUGUAGCGGUGAAAUGCGCAGAUAUCAGGAGGAACACCGGUGGCGAAGGCGGGUCUCUGGGCCGAUACUGACGCUGAGGAGCGAAAGCGUGGGGAGCGAACAGG